CCUACGGGGGGCAGCAGUGAGGAAUAUUGGUCAAUGGGCGCGAGCCUGAACCAGCCAAGUAGCGUGAAGGAUGACUGCCCUACGGGUUGUAAACUUCUUUUAUAAAGGAAUAAGGUGAGGCACGUGUGCCUUUUUGUAUGUACUUUAUGAAUAAGGAUCGGCUAACUCCGUGCCAGCAGCCGCGGUAAUACGGAGGAUCCGAGCGUUAGCCGGAUUUAUUGGGUUUAAAGGGAGCGUAGAUGGGUUGUUAAGUCAGUUGUGAAAGUUUACGGCUCAACCGUAAAAUUGCAAUUGAUACUGGCAGCCUUGAGUACAGGUGAGGAAGGCGGAAUUCGUGGUGUAGCGGUGAAAUGCUUAGAUAUCACGAAGAACUCCGAUGGCGAAGGCAGCCUACUAAACUGCCACUGACAUUGAGGCGCGAAAGUGUGGGUAUCAAACAGGAUUAGAUACCCGAGUAGUC
This 460-nucleotide ribosomal RNA is filed under the name uncultured bacterium. RNAcentral describes it as "partial 16S ribosomal RNA". It matches the Rfam family "Bacterial small subunit ribosomal RNA", at positions 338 to 795 of the family's 1533-position model. The record is from RNAcentral.